This 714-nucleotide ribosomal RNA is filed under the name Triticum aestivum (bread wheat). RNAcentral's name for it is "partial small subunit ribosomal RNA". Lineage: Eukaryota; Viridiplantae; Streptophyta; Magnoliopsida; Poales; Poaceae. The record is from RNAcentral.
AUGGUGCAAUUUGGAGUCAGGGAGAUACCAGAAAAGUAUGUUAAGAAGAGGUGGACAAAGAAAGCUAGAGAAUCCAUUCCAGAACAUCUCAAAGGGUACGUCAAUGAUAAUGAAGCUGCUGCAUCGAGGACGUAUCGACACGAUCUGAUGUAUCAGACCGCGCUUGAUAUGGUUCGGAUUGGGGACACAAACACUGAGACAUAUCAGAAGACAAUGGAAGUGAUGUGCAAUCACCUGAAAGAUUUGAAAUUAAUGACAGCCACGGCAGAAUCAAGCACGAAGGAAACUCGACAAAGUGAAAGAUUACAAGGGAAGAAACCUAUUGGUAAUGUGUUUGGCGAUCAUGAUGCCCAACUGUGCAAUGACAAUUGCAUAGAUGAGUGUGAGGCUACAGAAGGCGGUGACGAUGAUUGGGGAGGUGAGGAAGUACAAGAUGAGGAGAUGGAAGAUGGUGUUCGUGAAUGUGAUAUACUUCCUCCUGAAUUUAGAAGGGGAAGAGGAAGACCUAGGAUGCGAAGGUAUAUGUCCAAGGGAGAAAUUGCUUCAAGACAGGGUAAGAAAGGAGCAUGCUCAUCAGUAAGGAUCCAAUUUGAAGAUGGAAGUAGCUCUAGGGUUACUAGGCCAAUGCAGGUCAGGUACUGCGGUAGCUGUGGUCAGCAAGGACACAAUAAGAGUACGUGUGGUCGCAAUUCAAGUUAUAAGAGAAAGUACUGA